This 77-nucleotide transfer RNA is filed under the name Clostridiaceae bacterium. RNAcentral's name for it is "tRNA-Val". It matches the Rfam family "tRNA". From Rfam's summary of the family: Transfer RNA (tRNA) molecules are approximately 80 nucleotides in length. Their secondary structure includes four short double-helical elements and three loops (D, anti-codon, and T loops). Further hydrogen bonds mediate the characteristic L-shaped molecular structure. tRNAs have two regions of fundamental functional importance: the anti-codon, which is responsible for specific mRNA codon recognition, and the 3' end, to which the tRNAs corresponding amino acid is attached (by aminoacyl-tRNA synthetases). tRNAs cope with the degeneracy of the genetic code in two manners: having more than one tRNA (with a specific anti-codon) for a particular amino acid; and 'wobble' base-pairing, i.e. permitting non-standard base-pairing at the 3rd anti-codon position. The record is from RNAcentral. Lineage: Bacteria; Bacillati; Bacillota; Clostridia; Eubacteriales; Clostridiaceae.
GGGUGGUUAGCUCAGCUGGUUAGAGUACCUGCGUUACAUGCAGGGAGUCGGUGGUUCGAGUCCACUACCACCCACCA